UAGGGAAUCUUCGGCAAUGGACGAAAGUCUGACCGAGCAACGCCGCGUGAGUGAAGAAGGUUUCCGGAUCGUAAACUCUGUUGGUAGAGAAGAACGUUGGUGAGAGUGGAAAGCUCAUCAAGUGACGGUAACUACCCAGAAAGGGACGGCUAACUACGUGCCAG
This 164-nucleotide ribosomal RNA is filed under the name uncultured bacterium. Its description in RNAcentral is "partial 16S rRNA". It matches the Rfam family "Bacterial small subunit ribosomal RNA", at positions 355 to 511 of the family's 1533-position model. The record is from RNAcentral.